RNAcentral lists this ribosomal RNA (484 nucleotides) under uncultured bacterium. Its description in RNAcentral is "partial 16S ribosomal RNA". It matches the Rfam family "Bacterial small subunit ribosomal RNA", at positions 28 to 523 of the family's 1533-position model. The record is from RNAcentral.
GACGAACGCUGGCGGCGUGCUUAACACAUGCAAGUCGAACGAUGAAGCCGGAGCUUGCUCUGGUGAAUUAGUGGCGAACGGGUGAGUAACACGUGAGUAACCUGCCCUUGACUCUGGGAUAACUGCUAGAAAUGGUAGCUAAUACCGGAUACGACCCUCGGAGGCAUCUCCAGGGGGUGGAAAGAAUUUCGGUCAAGGAUGGAUUCGCGGCCUAUCAGCUAGUUGGUGAGGUAACGGCUCACCAAGGCGACGACGGGUAGCCGGCCUGGGAGGGUGACCGGCCACACUGGGACUGAGACACGGCCCAGAAUCCUACGGGAGGCAGCAGUGGGGAAUAUUGCACAAUGGGCGCAAGCCUGAUGCAGCAACGCCGCGUGAGGGAUGACGGCCUUCGGGUUGUAAACCUCUUUUAGUAGGGAAGAAGCGAAAGUGACGGUACCUGCAGAAAAAGCACCGGCUAACUACGUGCCAGCCGCCGCGGUAA